UUGGUUAAGUUAGAAAGGGCGCACGGUGGAUGCCUUGGCACUAGGAGCCGAAGAAGGACGGGACUAACACCGAUAUGCUUUGGGGAGCUGUACGUAAGCGUUGAUCCAGAGAUUUCCGAAUGGGGGAACCCACUAUCUUUAGUCGGAUAGUAUCCUUACGUGAAUACAUAGCGUGAGGAAGGCAGACCCAGGGAACUGAAACAUCUAAGUACCUGGAGGAAGAGAAAGAAAAAUCGAUUUCCUGAGUAGCGGCGAGCGAAACGGAAAGAGCCCAAACCAAGAAGCUUGCUUCUUGGGGUUGUAGGACACUCUAUACGGAGUUACAAAAGAAAGUUAUAAAUGAAGCGGUCUGGAAAGGCCCGCCAAAGACGGUAACAGCCCGGUAGUUGAAAUGGCUUUCCCUCCAGAGUGGAUCCUGAGUACGGCGGAACACGUGAAAUUCCGUCGGAAUCCGGGAGGACCAUCUCCCAAGGCUAAAUACUCCCUAGUGACCGAUAGUGAACCAGUACCGUGAGGGAAAGGUGAAAAGCACCCCGGAAGGGGAGUGAAACAGUUCCUGAAACCGUGUGCCUACAAGUAGUUAGAGCCCGUUAAUGGGUGAUAGCGUGCCUUUUGUAGAAUGAACCGGCGAGUUACGAUUUGUUGCAAGGUUAAGCGGAAAAAGCGGAGCCGUAGCGAAAGCGAGUCUGAAUAGGGCGCAUAAGUAACAGGUCGUAGACCCGAAACCAGGUGAUCUACCCAUGUCCAGGAUGAAGGUAAGGUAAUACUUACUGGAGGUCCGAACCCACGCACGUUGAAAAGUGCGGGGAUGAGGUGUGGGUAGCGGAGAAAUUCCAAUCGAACUUGGAGAUAGCUGGUUCUCUCCGAAAUAGCUUUAGGGCUAGCCUCGAGGUAAAGAGUCAUGGAGGUAGAGCACUGUUUGGACUAGGGGCCCUUCUCGGGUUACCGAAUUCAGAUAAACUCCGAAUGCCAUGUACUUAUACUCGGGAGUCAGACUGCGAGUGAUAAGAUCCGUAGUCGAAAGGGAAACAGCCCAGACCACCAGUUAAGGUCCCCAAAUAUAUGUUAAGUGGAAAAGGAUGUGGGGUUGCUUAGACAACCAGGAUGUUGGCUUAGAAGCAGCCACCAUUGAAAGAGUGCGUAA
Molecule: ribosomal RNA, 1144 nt
Filed under: Listeria monocytogenes
Lineage: Bacteria; Bacillati; Bacillota; Bacilli; Caryophanales; Listeriaceae
Description: partial 23S ribosomal RNA
Rfam family: Bacterial large subunit ribosomal RNA
Source: RNAcentral